GUGUGCCCGCGCCUUCCUAGAUGUAGCCUUUUUUCAGGCUCCCUUUUCGGGAAUCAAAACCGUGUUUCUCCUUAACACGUUACAACCCUGGUAGGCGCUAAUCAACCCAUAAAAGUGAUAAGGAGACAUUUAGGGAUAUGUGCGUUUCUCCGACCCCCUUUAAAUAAAUUUUCCAAAAUCACUUAAUUUCAAAAAAAGUUCCAGGGGUGAAAAAAAACCAAACCCCCCCCCACCUGGCUUGUCUCAAAGAUUAAGCCAUGCAUGUCUAAGCAUAAAUGAAUUCAUAGUGAAGCCGCGAAUAGCUCAUUACAACAGCCAUCGUUUAAUGGAUAUAUUUUUACAUGGAUAACUGUGGUAAUUCUACAGCUAAUACACGCAUCAAAACCCAACCUUACGGUGGGGUGCGUUUGUUACUUCAAACCAAUCGGACUUCUGUCUGAAAUCAAGUGAUAUUGAACAAUUUAGCUGAUCGCACGGUCUGAGAACCGGCGACAUAUCCUUCAAAUGUCUGCCUUAUCAACUUUCGAUGGUAGAUUACGCGCCUACCAUGGUUGUAACGGGUAACGGAGAA
This 571-nucleotide ribosomal RNA is filed under the name Viscosia sp. 96L31C15. RNAcentral describes it as "bacterial SSU rRNA". The stretch from base 237 to 571 matches the Rfam family "Eukaryotic small subunit ribosomal RNA", at positions 30 to 369 of the family's 1831-position model. The record is from RNAcentral. Lineage: Eukaryota; Metazoa; Nematoda; Enoplea; Enoplida; Oncholaimidae.